Molecule: ribosomal RNA, 644 nt
Filed under: uncultured bacterium
Lineage: Bacteria
Description: bacterial SSU rRNA
Rfam family: Bacterial small subunit ribosomal RNA
Source: RNAcentral
CAUGCAAGUCGAACGAACCUUCGGGUUAGUGGCGGACGGGUGAGUAACGCGUGAGAAUCUGCCCUCAGGAGGGGGAUAACAGUUGGAAACGACUGCUAAUACCCCAUAUGCCGAGAGGUGAAAUGAAUUUCGCCUGGGGAUGAGCUCGCGUCUGAUUAGCUUGUUGGUGGGGUAAUAGCCUACCAAGGCUUCGAUCAGUAGCUGGUCUGAGAGGACGAUCAGCCACACUGGGACUGAGACACGGCCCAGACUCCUACGGGAGGCAGCAGUGGGGAAUUUUCCGCAAUGGGCGAAAGCCUGACGGAGCAACGCCGCGUGAGGGAUGGAGGCCUUUGGGCUGUAAACCUCUUUUCUCAAGGAAGAAGAUCUGACGGUACUUGAGGAAUAAGCCACGGCUAAUUCCGUGCCAGCAGCCGCGGUAAUACGGGAGUGGCAAGCGUUAUCCGGAAUUAUUGGGCGUAAAGCGUCCGCAGGCGGCCGUUUAAGUCUGUUGUUAAAUCGUGGAGCUCAACUCCAUCACGGCAAUGGAAACUGUUCGGCUUGAGUAUGGUAGGGGCAGAGGGAAUUUCCGGUGUAGCGGUGAAAUGCGUAGAUAUCGGGAAGAACACCAGUGGCGAAAGCGCUCUGCUGGGCCAUUACUGACG